GGAAUAUUGGACAAUGGGGGCAACCCUGAUCCAGCAAUGCCGCGUGUGUGAAGAAGGUCUUCGGAUUGUAAAGCACUUUCGACGGGGACGAUGAUGACGGUACCCGUAGAAGAAGCCCCGGCUAACUUCGUGCCAGCAGCCGCGGUAAUACGAAGGGGGCUAGCGUUGCUCGGAAUGACUGGGCGUAAAGGGCGUGUAGGCGGUUUACACAGUCGGAUGUGAAAUCC
Molecule: ribosomal RNA, 227 nt
Filed under: uncultured bacterium
Lineage: Bacteria
Description: partial 16S ribosomal RNA
Rfam family: Bacterial small subunit ribosomal RNA
Source: RNAcentral